GGCGGGCAUAGCUCAGGGGCAGAGCAUCGGCUUCCCGAGCCGAGUGUCGCGGGUUCAAAUCCCGUUGCCCGCUCCC
Molecule: transfer RNA, 76 nt
Filed under: bacterium HR19
Lineage: Bacteria
Description: tRNA-Gly
Rfam family: tRNA
About the family: Transfer RNA (tRNA) molecules are approximately 80 nucleotides in length. Their secondary structure includes four short double-helical elements and three loops (D, anti-codon, and T loops). Further hydrogen bonds mediate the characteristic L-shaped molecular structure. tRNAs have two regions of fundamental functional importance: the anti-codon, which is responsible for specific mRNA codon recognition, and the 3' end, to which the tRNAs corresponding amino acid is attached (by aminoacyl-tRNA synthetases). tRNAs cope with the degeneracy of the genetic code in two manners: having more than one tRNA (with a specific anti-codon) for a particular amino acid; and 'wobble' base-pairing, i.e. permitting non-standard base-pairing at the 3rd anti-codon position.
Source: RNAcentral